UUUGUUAUGGGAUCCGUCGCCCGGGAUAUCAGAAUCAGGCCCAAACGCCCCAAUAAUCACCAUCGGAAUCAGGUGAGUCCAAAGGAUGUGUCGUUCUGUACGGUGGGUUGCUGUCUCCCGCUCCGUUCAACCCCUUCUUGAGGCAGCGGAAUCGGGCAGGAUAAUCUUCACAGGCGGGACACACUCUUGCCACUCGGGCCGUCCAUCGAGAAUUCUACGAAGUCAUCAAGAUCCUUCGUACCCAGCAACCACCGGUACCGCCUCGCUCCCUCCUCGUCCGCCUUUCCGCUCCGUUCUGCCCUCAACAUUACCUGGAGAAAAGGAAAGAAAAUUUAGAUUCCACCGAAGUCGAAAGCCCAAUCGAUGGCGGGUAUAUAAAUCAGAGGAAAACAAAGGGCCGGGAAAUGGCUAAGUUAGGUCAUGAAAGGGAAGAAUGGCGUUAUGGAGUAGAAAGUGAGAUCAGAGAAGGAAGAAGAGAAUUAUCGGGUAGAAAGGCAGUUCAGGAUAGGUCAGGGGAGUUAUGGUUUAUUUGGAGAGGUUUGCGAGGAGGCUGUCAGCGUCGAGUCAUGGGAAGAUUUGCUGCCAGGGACCGUAAAUUAAAGCUCAGCGAAGUGAUUCCUUAAUGUGUCCGUAAGGCUACAAGAUAAAAGUGAAGACGUGUUAAUGAUAAUAUAUAAUAAUCUGUACCUGAGUCUGCUGUUCCCCUUUAGCCCUCUCAGUCACCGCUGCUGCUACCACAGAACCGAUGGAGUUGAGCAAAAGAGAACCACCUUACACAUGAAGCAAAAGAUUCCCACAAUUUCUCUGCCCUGGCAUCCAAAAUAUAACACGAAUAACACGUCAGUAAUUUAUCCAAUGCUAAGAAGGUAAAUGGAUAUUGUGAAAAAGACUACUGGAUGUUACGACCACACGAUUAAUGUUUGGUUUUGCGACUUAUCUAAAAAAAGUGAAUUAGUUGAAGGGAGGAUUUACGAAGCGUCAUACCAGUGAUGAUCCUUUUCCUCCUGAAUACGAUAGGACACUGCUGCCAACGUGAAUCUUGAGUUUAUACCUGUGGCAGAGAAUCCCCAGGUGACCAGGUAGAGAGUGCACUUAAUUGACCCGCUUCACCUGUGUCAUUUCGUCACGGCGCCGCAACAUCCCCGCCCCACGAAGGCGUUACAGUGCUACGCGAGUCAUUACAUUAGUCAGGAGUCAUUGGGGAGUUCUCGAUUCUCCACCAAAAUGACAAAUACACGAUAGGAAGAACUUGUGAGUGAGCGUCUGGUGAAAGUUGGGUGAUAUAUACAUGUGGUGGGACACGGAAACGGGGUCAGUGGUGUUGAA
Molecule: long non-coding RNA, 1326 nt
Organism: Eriocheir sinensis (Chinese mitten crab)
Lineage: Eukaryota; Metazoa; Arthropoda; Malacostraca; Decapoda; Varunidae
Exons: 3
Source: RefSeq, a predicted model, not a curated record